ACGAGAAAUCAUACGCUCGGACGUCGGGUCAGUUUGAACCGUUUGAACUGUAAUAUUCACGGCAUACCGUGUAAUUUUACCAAUAAAUACUACUUUCCGUGAAUAAAUUUACACCUGAGUGACAUUCGGCGACUCAUCUGUGAAACAAGAACAAUUCUUUGACUCGAAUAUCUUUAAGCGGGAAACGUUUUACAGCCGACUUCAGUCGUUUGCGGUGAAUCCGCGGGAAUUCAUGCUGUUGCAUGUUGUGAGAUUGUUUAUCGCAAUAUUUGUCGUGUGUUGUGUAAGUUUACCAGUAAAUUUGUGGUGCAGUGCCGUUCAGUGAUUGCUGAGUGAUCCGCAGAUUUACGCCGACAAAAAGAAUGAGAUUUGGAAAGCAUCUUACAGUUUCAGAAACGUAUGUGGCCUCGAUCGGCAAGAGAAUGAGCUUAAGAACGCAUCGCAGCAUUUCAGUCUAAGGUUUCAGUAUCCACGCGAAUGAUGUAAUAGAAUUGAAAACCCACUUCAGUCAGCUCAGCUGCAGACUGAACACCGCUAUCUGGAUCUUCUAGUUUCUCUUUAAGCCUGGGAAAAGCUGGCCGCAGAGCCUCGGGAAACCGGAGGAAGACUUUGUACAUCAUUAACACAGCUUUCUUUCGGAGAUAUGGC
RNAcentral lists this long non-coding RNA (648 nucleotides) under Neodiprion pinetum (white pine sawfly). RNAcentral describes it as "uncharacterized LOC124215341". The record is from RNAcentral. Lineage: Eukaryota; Metazoa; Arthropoda; Insecta; Hymenoptera; Diprionidae.